This 346-nucleotide unclassified non-coding RNA is filed under the name soil metagenome. RNAcentral's name for it is "partial contains 5.8S ribosomal RNA, internal transcribed spacer 2, and large subunit ribosomal RNA". The stretch from base 1 to 120 matches the Rfam family "5.8S ribosomal RNA", at positions 35 to 154 of the family's 154-position model. The record is from RNAcentral.
GAUGAAGAACGUAGCGAAAUGCGAUAAGUAAUGUGAAUUGCAGAGUUCAGUGAAUCAUCGAAUCUUUGAACGCACAUUGCGCCCGCCAGUAUUCUGGCGGGCAUGCCUGUUCGAGCGUCAUUUCAACCCUCAAGCCCUCGGGUUUGGUGUUGGGGAUCGGCGAGCCUUUCUGGCAAGCCGGCCCCGAAAUCUAGUGGCGGUCUCGCUGCAGCCUCCAUUGCGUAGUAGUAAAACCCUCGCAACUGGAACGCGGCGCGGCCAAGCCGUUAAACCCCCAACUUCUGAAUGUUGACCUCGGAUCAGGUAGGAAUACCCGCUGAACUUAAGCAUAUCAAUAAGCGGAGGA